GCACCUGGGACUGAGACACGGCCCAGACUCCUACGGGAGGCAGCAGUGGGGAAUAUUGGACAAUGGGCGCAAGCCUGAUCCAGCCAUGCCGCGUGAGUGAUGAAGGCCCUAGGGUUGUAAAGCUCUUUCACCGGUGAAGAUAAUGACGGUAACCGGAGAAGAAGCCCCGGCUAACUUCGUGCCAGCAGCCGCGGUAAUACGAAGGGGGCUAGCGUUGUUCGGAUUUACUGGGCGUAAAGCGCACGUAGGCGGACUUUUAAGUCAGGGGUGAAAUCCCGGGGCUCAACCCCGGAACUGCCUUUGAUACUGGAAGUCUUGAGUAUGGAAGAGGUAAGUGGAAUUGCGAGUGUAGAGGUGAAAUUCGUAGAUAUUCGCAGGAACACCAGUGGCGAAGGCGGCUUACUGGUCCAUUACUGACGCGGAGGUGAGAG
Molecule: ribosomal RNA, 431 nt
Filed under: uncultured Brucellaceae bacterium
Lineage: Bacteria; Pseudomonadati; Pseudomonadota; Alphaproteobacteria; Hyphomicrobiales; Brucellaceae
Description: bacterial SSU rRNA
Rfam family: Bacterial small subunit ribosomal RNA
Source: RNAcentral